GGGUGAGUAACGCGUGGGUAACCUGCCUUGCACUGGGGGAUAACACUUAGAAAUAGGUGCUAAUACCGCAUAAGCGCACAGAACCGCAUGGUUCGGUGUGAAAAACUCCGGUGGUGUAAGAUGGACCCGCGUCUGAUUAGCUGGUUGGUGAGGUAACGGCUCACCAAGGCGACGAUCAGUAGCCGGCCUGAGAGGGUGAACGGCCACAUUGGGACUGAGACACGGCCCAAACUCCUACGGGAGGCAGCAGUGGGGAAUAUUGCACAAUGGGGGAAACCCUGAUGCAGCAACGCCACGUGAGUGAAGAAGUCAUUCGUGAUGUAAAGCUCUAUCAGCAGGGAAGAAAAUGACGGUACCUGACUAAGAAGCCCCGGCUAACUACGUGCCAGCAGCCGCGGUAAUACGUAGGGGGCAAGCGUUAUCCGGAUUUACUGGGUGUAAAGGGAGCGUAGACGGCGACGCAAGUCUGAAGUGAAAUGCCAGUGCUCAACACUGGAACUGCUUUGGAAACUGUGUAGCUAGAGUGCAGGAGAGGUAAGUGGAAUUCCUAGUGUAGCGGUGAAAUGCGUAGAUAUUAGGAGGAACACCAGUGGCGAAGGCGGCUUACUGGACUGUAACUGACGUUGAGGCUCGAAGGCGUGGGGAGCAAACAGGAUUAGAUACCCUGGUAGUCCACGCGGUAA
RNAcentral lists this ribosomal RNA (683 nucleotides) under uncultured bacterium. RNAcentral describes it as "bacterial SSU rRNA". It matches the Rfam family "Bacterial small subunit ribosomal RNA", at positions 104 to 805 of the family's 1533-position model. The record is from RNAcentral.